UUGGUCAUUUAGAGGAAGUAAAAGUCGUAACAAGGUCUCCGUAGGUGAACCUGCGGAGGGAUCAUUACAAGUGACCCCGGUCUUACCACCGGGAUGUUCAUAACCCCUUGUUGUCCGACUCUGUUGCCUCCGGGGCGACCCUGCCUUCGGGCGGGGGCUCCGGGUGGACACUUCAAACUCUUGCGUAACUUUGCAGUCUGAGUAAACUUAAUUAAUAAAUUAAAACUUUUAACAACGGAUCUCUUGGUUCUGGCAUCGAUGAAGAACGCAGCGAAAUGCGAUAAGUAAUGUGAAUUGCAGAAUUCAGUGAAUCAUCGAGUCUUUGAACGCACAUUGCGCCCCCUGGUAUUCCGGGAGGCAUGCCUGUUCGAGCGUCAUUUCACCACUCAAGCCUCGCUUGGUAUUGGGCAACGCGGUCCGCCGCGUGCCUCAAAUCGACCGGCUGGAUCUUCUGUCCCCUAAGCGUUGUGGAAACUAUUCGCUAAAGGGUGUUCGGGAGGCUACGCCGUAAAACAACCCCAUUUCUAAGGUUGACCUCGGAUCAGGUAGGGAUACCCGCUGAACUUAAGCAUAUCAAUAAG
RNAcentral lists this ribosomal RNA (581 nucleotides) under uncultured fungus. Its description in RNAcentral is "eukaryotic LSU rRNA". The stretch from base 224 to 377 matches the Rfam family "5.8S ribosomal RNA". Lineage: Eukaryota; Fungi. The record is from RNAcentral.